RNAcentral lists this ribosomal RNA (492 nucleotides) under uncultured bacterium. Its description in RNAcentral is "partial 16S ribosomal RNA". It matches the Rfam family "Bacterial small subunit ribosomal RNA", at positions 30 to 507 of the family's 1533-position model. The record is from RNAcentral.
AUUGAACGCUGGCGGCAUGCUUUACACAUGCAAGUCGAACGGUAACAGGCCUUCGGGUGCUGACGAGUGGCGAACGGGUGAGUAAUGCAUCGGAACGUGCCCAGAGGUGGGGGAUAACGCAGCGAAAGCUGUGCUAAUACCGCAUGUGAUCUGAGGAUGAAAGCGGGGGACCAGGCAGCAAUGUUUGGCCUCGCGCCUUUGGAGCGGCCGAUGUCAGAUUAGGUAGUUGGUGGGGUAAAGGCCUACCAAGCCGACGAUCUGUAGUUGGUCUGAGAGGACGACCAGCCACACUGGGACUGAGACACGGCCCAGACUCCUACGGGAGGCAGCAGUGGGGAAUUUUGGACAAUGGGCGCAAGCCUGAUCCAGCAAUGCCGCGUGCGGGAAGAAGGCCUUCGGGUUGUAAACCGCUUUUGUACGGAACGAAAAGGCUCUGGCUAAUACCUGGGGCUGAUGACGGUACCGUAAGAAUAAGCACCGGCUAACUACGUG